This 445-nucleotide ribosomal RNA is filed under the name uncultured bacterium. RNAcentral describes it as "partial 16S ribosomal RNA". It matches the Rfam family "Bacterial small subunit ribosomal RNA", at positions 354 to 796 of the family's 1533-position model. The record is from RNAcentral.
GUGAGGAAUAUUGGUCAAUGGGCGGGAGCCUGAACCAGCCAAGUCGCGUGAAGGAAGAAGGAUCUAUGGUUCGUAAACUUCUUUUGCAGGGGAAUAAAGUGCGGGACGUGUCCUGUUUUGUAUGUACCCUGAGAAUAAGGAUCGGCUAACUCCGUGCCAGCAGCCGCGGUAAUACGGAGGAUCCGAGCGUUAUCCGGAUUUAUUGGGUUUAAAGGGUGCGUAGGUGGUUUGAUAAGUCAGCGGUGAAAGUUUGCAGCUUAACUGUAAAAAUGCCGUUGAAACUGUCGGACUUGAGUGUAAAUGAGGUAGGCGGAAUGCGUGGUGUAGCGGUGAGAUGCAUAGAUAUCACGCAGAACUCCGAUUGCGAAGGCAGCUUACUAAGCUACAACUGACACUGAAGCACGAAAGCGUGGGGAUCAAACAGGAUUAGAAACCCCUGUAGUCC